GAUGAACGCUGGCGGCGUGCUUAACACAUGCAAGUCGAACGAAGCACUUUAUUUGAUUUCCUUCGGGACUGAUUAUUUUGUGACUGAGUGGCGGACGGGUGAGUAACGCGUGGGUAACCUGCCUUGUACAGGGGGAUAACAGUUGGAAACGGCUGCUAAUACCGCAUAAGCGCACAGCAUCGCAUGAUGCAGUGUGAAAAACUCCGGUGGUAUAAGAUGGACCCGCGUUGGAUUAGCUAGUUGGUGAGGUAACGGCCCACCAUGGCGACGAUCCAUAGCCGACCUGAGAGGGUGACCGGCCACAUUGGGACUGAGACACGGCCCAAACUCCUACGGGAGGCAGCAGUGGGGAAUAUUGCACAAUGGGCGAAAGCCUGAUGCAGCGACGCCGCGUGAGCGAAGAAGUAUUUCGGUAUGUAAAGCUCUAUCAGCAGGGAAGAUAAUGACGGUACCUGACUAAGAAGCACCGGCUAAAUACGUG
RNAcentral lists this ribosomal RNA (481 nucleotides) under uncultured bacterium. RNAcentral describes it as "partial 16S ribosomal RNA". It matches the Rfam family "Bacterial small subunit ribosomal RNA", at positions 28 to 507 of the family's 1533-position model. The record is from RNAcentral.